Molecule: ribosomal RNA, 492 nt
Filed under: uncultured bacterium
Lineage: Bacteria
Description: partial 16S ribosomal RNA
Rfam family: Bacterial small subunit ribosomal RNA
Source: RNAcentral
AGUGAACGCUGGCGGUAGGCCUAACACAUGCAAGUCGAACGGCAGCACAGUAAGAGCUUGCUCUUACGGGUGGCGAGUGGCGGACGGGUGAGGAAUACAUCGGAAUCUACUUUUUCGUGGGGGAUAACGUAGGGAAACUUACGCUAAUACCGCAUACGACCUACGGGUGAAAGCAGGGGAUCUUCGGACCUUGCGCGAUUGAAUGAGCCGAUGUCGGAUUAGCUAGUUGGCGGGGUAAAGGCCCACCAAGGCGACGAUCCGUAGCUGGACUGAGAGGAUGAUCAGCCACACUGGAACUGAGACGCGGUCCAGACUCCUACGGGAGGCAGCAGUGGGGAAUAUUGGACAAUGGGCGCAAGCCUGAUCCAGCCAUACCGCGUGGGUGAAGAAGGCCUUCGGGUUGUAAAGCCCUUUUUUUGGGAAAGAAAAGCAGCAGGUUAAUACCCCGCUGUUCUGACGGUACCCAAAGAAUAAGCACCGGCUAACUUCGUG